RNAcentral lists this ribosomal RNA (497 nucleotides) under uncultured bacterium. Its description in RNAcentral is "partial 16S ribosomal RNA". The stretch from base 58 to 497 matches the Rfam family "Bacterial small subunit ribosomal RNA", at positions 39 to 507 of the family's 1533-position model. The record is from RNAcentral.
GGGGGGGGGGGGGGGGGGGGGGGGGGGGGGGGGGGGGGGGGGGGGGGGGUGGGGGGGGUGGCGGGGGGAGGAGCGGGGGGGGGGGGAGUAAGGCGGGGGGAAUCGGCCUUGGAGCGGGGGACGACAUGGGGAAACGAAUGCUAAUACCGCAUCAACACUUUAGACACAAGUUUUACGGUUGAAAGAGGGCAUUGCCUCACCCGAAGACUAUCCGGCGUUGUAUUAGCUAGUUGGUGCGGUAAGGACUCACCAAGGCGAUGUUACAUAGCCGACCUGAGAGGGUGAUCGGCCAAAUUGGGACUGAGACACGGCCCAAACUCCUUCGGGAGGCAGCAGUAGGGAAUCUUCGGCAAUGGACGAAAGUCUGACCGAGCAACGCCGCGUGAGUGAAGAAGGUUUUCGGAUCGUAAAACUCUGUUGGUAGAGAAGAACGUUGGUGAGAGUGGAAAGCUCAUCAAGUGACGGUAACUACCCAGAAAGGGACGGCUAACUACGUG